Molecule: long non-coding RNA, 517 nt
Organism: Hypomesus transpacificus
Lineage: Eukaryota; Metazoa; Chordata; Actinopteri; Osmeriformes; Osmeridae
Exons: 3
Source: RefSeq, a predicted model, not a curated record
AGAGAGAGAGAGAGAGAGAGAGAGAAAGAUCCAGAAACAAACACUGAGCGCUGACCGUGAGGAAGAAAGGAAGGAUCCGAAGGUUCCUCCAAUCCUUCUUACAUUCAACUUCAGGGAAACCCUUUUUUAAUUUCAGGGGAACCGAGUGAGGAGAGAGACCGACAGAAAGAAAGGAUAUGACAAAGAACAUGAAAGAAAGAAAUCGGCAUUAAACGCACGACGAAAUUCUCUCUUUCCUCCCUACUUCCUUCUUUUUGCUUAUUUCUCUCUAAUUUGAUCUUAAAUCUACUCCAUCUUCCCCUGAGGGAGCUCUCUCUGUUCCAAUAGAAGCAGAACAGGAAGCGUCCCUACCUCCUGAAUCCCGUUUGCGGGGGCUAAAUCAGGGUCCCUCUCUGAACAUCCUCUCCUCUUCCAUCAUGACGUUGCUGGCCUCUGAGAGGUCGCUUCUCAUCCGGAACAAAUUCCGCUCAGUCCUGCAGUUGAGGAUUCAGAACCGAAGACAGCAGAAUGAAAUCAA